CCUACGGGUGGCAGCAGUGGGGGAUAUUGCACAAUGGGGGGAACCCUGAUGCAGCGACGCCGCGUGGGUGAAGGAGCGUUUCGGCGCGUAAAGCCCUAUCGGCAGGGAAGAAGGAGGACGGUACCUGACUAAGAAGCCCCGGCUAACUACGUGCCAGCAGCCGCGGUAAUACGUAGGGGGCAAGCGUUAUCCGGAUUUACUGGGUGUAAAGGGAGCGUAGGCGGUUUAGCAAGUCAGAAGUGAAAGCCCGGGGCUCAACUCCGGGACUGCUUUUGAAACUGUUGAACUAGAUUGCAGGAGAGGUAAGUGGAAUUCCUAGUGUAGCGGUGAAAUGCGUAGAUAUUAGGAGGAACACCAGUGGCGAAGGCGGCUUACUGGACUGUAAAUGACGCUGAGGCUCGAAAGCGUGGGGAGCAAACAGGAUUAGAUACCCGUGUAGUC
RNAcentral lists this ribosomal RNA (441 nucleotides) under uncultured bacterium. Its description in RNAcentral is "partial 16S ribosomal RNA". It matches the Rfam family "Bacterial small subunit ribosomal RNA", at positions 338 to 795 of the family's 1533-position model. The record is from RNAcentral.